CACUGGACCCCGGCCGCCGUGGUUCCCACCGUGCCUCGUCCCGAGCCAUCGGGGCCGAGCGGCUGUAGCAGGCCAGAGGCAGCGCGUCUGGCAGCGUCGGCCUGCUUCGCCGGCCUAGCCGUGUUGGUGGUGUAAUUUUUCUGUCAGAUCGGGUCUCUCCUUCCUCAGAUUGGAAUGAUGGCCAUUUUUUUUGUUCCAUCUUUGUAGAUAGCAGCUUUCUUCUUCAGAUCGGAUCACACGGCCGAUUUUGUAUGUAUCUUCAGAUCGGCUCUUCUCAUUUACAAUCGGUGAUUGCCCAACGGGGCGACCAGAAGACAAGUGAGCGACAUCGAAUCGUUUUUUCUCAUUUAUUUUUGGACUGCGGGUUAAUUUCAAAGAAACAGAGGGGCUUUUUCGCAAAAACGCCGACGACGUACGACCAGAAGCACUCCGUGCUUUAUUAGUAGGGAAAGGGAAAGAUAGACUAGCAAAAGAGCCCGUGCAUUGCAACGGGACAGAAAAAACACACGCUCUUAACCCAAUAACCACGACUCGAGACCCUCAUAGGUAGACGUUCUUUAUUUUAAAAUGGCAUCACAUUUGUGUCCCCGACGAUGGUCUCAAUGCUCACACAACGAAAACACAUUUGAAUGUGGUCAGUCCUAAGGCGUCUCUUUCUCUCUCACACACGCGCGCGCGCUCGCACGCACACAAUCGGUCAGCAUAAGAUGAGAAAAAUGUUGCUUUUUCCCGCGAGGUUUUUCAGAGUUGUGCAUGUGUGGUUAUCAAUGUUUUUUUCCUCUCUCAAUCUAGUACAAAUGCCCAUGCGUUGCACGGGACGAUAAAUGUGGCAGAACUUAUUUCAUGGGUCCUUUUUUGCCACUUUAUAUAUCUACGGGUCUUGUUUUUUUUAUUCUCAUUUUUUCAUAUGCGGCCAGCACAGUACCAUUGUUGUGGAGAGCGAGAUAAUUUUUGCUGUUGUAUCUUUUCUGAGAAAUACCUAGACUUCUCAGUUAAAAUUGCUAUCUAACUUAUUGAGUUGUAAUAUCUUUGUGGUUUAUUUCUUUUGAAAUUGGACGGUACUUUGUGUUCUCUUAUUUGUCUUAGAUGGAUUGAUCAUGCACGUCGCGCUCCGGAGCGAAAAGUCAGGAUUUAUUGUAGAGUCGGAAUUUGAACCAAAAUUAUGUGGUCAUUUUUUUUUCUUGUCGAAGUUAGAUCAAGC
RNAcentral lists this ribosomal RNA (1201 nucleotides) under Triticum aestivum (bread wheat). RNAcentral describes it as "partial small subunit ribosomal RNA". The record is from RNAcentral. Lineage: Eukaryota; Viridiplantae; Streptophyta; Magnoliopsida; Poales; Poaceae.